This is a long non-coding RNA of Nicotiana tabacum (common tobacco), 938 nucleotides long. RefSeq lists it as uncharacterized. The record is from RefSeq and is a predicted model, not a curated record. Lineage: Eukaryota; Viridiplantae; Streptophyta; Magnoliopsida; Solanales; Solanaceae.
CAUAUUUUCUUCUUUUCUUCCUCUCUCUUCUCUCUGCCAACUCCACCUACCACCCCCGUCCGUCACCAUCGAAAAUCGUUCACCGGCUACCUCCAGUCACCACCAAACUUUCACCCCCCUAAUCUAGACCUCCUCUUUCCGAUUCCAACCUCCAAAUCCUCUAAACCGUCACAAAUCUCCAUGAAUUUAGCAAAAAUUAAAAUCCGAGCCGCCCCUCUUUUUCUCAAAUUCGUGAAGUUCUAGAUCGCUCCAAAACUCCAACAAUAAAUUCUCUGAUCACCCUCACUGUCGCGGCUAACCAAACUACCAUUGUUUCUCCGUCAUAGCUCUUUUCAACCCAAAGUCACUUGUUUCUUCUUGGCAUGACGUUAGGAUCUAUUGAUUUAGUGUCUGGCAAAAUGAAACAUGCGCUGCGGGAUCGGACAAUCAUCACUUAGCAUCCUCGGCAUCUUCUCGUUGCUCGAUUCGACAUCGAAUGUCCCGGAGUUUGAUUCAGGCGUUGUUGAUCCUGCUAGCGAGAGCUGAGAGCUCCCGGCAGACUUCGGAGUUCACGAGGUAGCUGUUUGGCGUCCGCAAUCCCGUGUUUCUCCCCCCUUAUCUCAAUUCUUUUCCCUUAUUAGUGGCUUUGUAAUAGCUUUGUAGACUUUUCAGACUUAUGUUAGAAGUGGUAGAUGCUCGUGACUAGUGAUACCCCGGUAUCAGGUUGUGUUGGUUUUUAUUUCCGCAAACUGUAACGUUCACUGCUUACUCUUGGAUUAUUUACUACGUUUUAGACUUAAUUCUUAUUGUUUAACUGCUUAAAACUGAAAUAGGAAAAGGUCAGUUGGUCGUAUCUUCACGAAAGGCGCCAUCACGAUCGGGUUCGGGUUUAGGGUCGUAAAAGAUUUGUAGCUUCAAAAUGUUUUGUUCUUUAUAGUAAACCUAAUGUUUCCAUGGUA